UACGAGAGGCCCAAACGUUAUUCGGAAUUGCUGGGCUUAAAGAGUUCGUAGGCGGCGCAGAAAGUGGGGUGUGAAAGCCCUCGGCUCAACCGAGGAAUUGCGCUCCAAACUACUGUGCUUGAGGAAGCUAGAGGUGAGCAGAACUGAUGGUGGAGCGGUGAAAUGCGUUGAUAUCAUCAGGAACACCGGAGGCGAAGGCGGCUCACUGGGGGUCUUCUGACGCUGAGGAACGAAAGCCAGGGGAGCGAACGGG
RNAcentral lists this ribosomal RNA (253 nucleotides) under uncultured bacterium. Its description in RNAcentral is "partial 16S ribosomal RNA". It matches the Rfam family "Bacterial small subunit ribosomal RNA", at positions 524 to 776 of the family's 1533-position model. The record is from RNAcentral.